CCUACGGGAGGCAGCAGUGAGGAAUAUUGGUCAAUGGCCGUAAGGCUGAACCAGCCAAGUCGCGUGAAGGAAGAAGGAUCUAUGGUUUGUAAACUUCUUUUAUAGGGGAAUAAAGGUAUCCACGUGUGGAUCUUUGCAUGUACCCUAUGAAUAAGCAUCGGCUAACUCCGUGCCAGCAGCCUCGGUAAUACGGAGGAUGCGAGCGUUAUCCGGAUUUAUUGGGUUUAAAGGGUGCGUAGGUUGUUUUUUAAGUCAGCGGUGAAAGUUUGUGGCUCAACCAUAAAAUUGCCGUUGAAACUGGAAGACUUGAGUGUGUUUGAGGUAGGCGGAAUGCGUGGUGUAGCGGUGAAAUGCAUAGAUAUCACGCAGAACUCCGAUUGCGAAGGCAGCUUACUAAGCCAUAACGGACACUGAAGCACGAAAGCGUGGGGAUCAAACAGGAUUAGAUACCCCUGUAGUC
This 460-nucleotide ribosomal RNA is filed under the name uncultured bacterium. RNAcentral's name for it is "partial 16S ribosomal RNA". It matches the Rfam family "Bacterial small subunit ribosomal RNA", at positions 338 to 795 of the family's 1533-position model. The record is from RNAcentral.